Molecule: ribosomal RNA, 412 nt
Filed under: uncultured bacterium
Lineage: Bacteria
Description: bacterial SSU rRNA
Rfam family: Bacterial small subunit ribosomal RNA
Source: RNAcentral
AACGAACGCUGGCGGCAGGCCUAACACAUGCAAGUCGAGCGGCAGCGCGUCCGACCACCCUCGGGUGGUCGGAUGGCGGCGAGCGGCGGACGGGUGAGGAAUGCAUCGGAAUCUGCCUCGUUGUGGGGGAUAACGUAGGGAAACUUACGCUAAUACCGCAUACGACCUACGGGUGAAAGUGGGGGACCUUCGGGCCUCACGCGAUGAGAUGAGCCGAUGCCGGAUUAGCUAGUUGGCGGGGUAAAGGCCCACCAAGGCGACGAUCCGUAGCUGGUCUGAGAGGAUGAUCAGCCACACUGGAACUGAGACACGGUCCAGACUCCUACGGGAGGCAGCAGUGGGGAAUAUUGGACAAUGGGGGCAACCCUGAUCCAGCCAUGCCGCGUGUGUGAAGAAGGCCUUCGGUUGUAAG